UACGGGGGGGGCAAGCGUUGUUCGGAAUUACUGGGCGUAAAGGGCUCGUAGGCGGCCAACUAAGUCAGACGUGAAAUCCCUCGGCUUAACCGGGGAACUGCGUCUGAUACUGGAUGGCUUGAGUUUGGGAGAGGGAUGCGGAAUUCCGGGUGUAGUGGUGAAAUGCGUAGAGAUCCGGAGGAAUACCAGUGGCGCAAGCGGCGCUCUGGGUCGCAUCUGACACUGAGACGCGAAGGCAUGGGGAGCGAACGGG
Molecule: ribosomal RNA, 253 nt
Filed under: uncultured bacterium
Lineage: Bacteria
Description: partial 16S ribosomal RNA
Rfam family: Bacterial small subunit ribosomal RNA
Source: RNAcentral